ACUCCUACGGGAGGCAGCAGUGGGGAAUUUUGGACAAUGGGCGAAAGCCUGAUCCAGCAAUGCCGCGUGCAGGAUGAAGGCCUUCGGGUUGUAAACUGCUUUUGUACGGAACGAAAAGCCCUGGGUUAAUACCCUGGGGUCAUGACGGUACCGCAAGAAUAAGCACCGGCUAACUACGUGCCAGCAGCCGCGGUAAU
This 197-nucleotide ribosomal RNA is filed under the name uncultured bacterium. RNAcentral's name for it is "partial 16S ribosomal RNA". It matches the Rfam family "Bacterial small subunit ribosomal RNA", at positions 335 to 524 of the family's 1533-position model. The record is from RNAcentral.